This 766-nucleotide ribosomal RNA is filed under the name Bacteroides stercoris. RNAcentral describes it as "bacterial SSU rRNA". It matches the Rfam family "Bacterial small subunit ribosomal RNA", at positions 23 to 779 of the family's 1533-position model. The record is from RNAcentral. Lineage: Bacteria; Pseudomonadati; Bacteroidota; Bacteroidia; Bacteroidales; Bacteroidaceae.
CUCAGGAUGAACGCUAGCUACAGGCUUAACACAUGCAAGUCGAGGGGCAGCAUCAUCAAAGCUUGCUUUGAUGGAUGGCGACCGGCGCACGGGUGAGUAACACGUAUCCAACCUGCCGACAACACUGGGAUAGCCUUUCGAAAGAAAGAUUAAUACCGGAUGGCAUAGUUUUCCCGCAUGGGAUGAUUAUUAAAGAAUUUCGGUUGUCGAUGGGGAUGCGUUCCAUUAGGCAGUUGGCGGGGUAACGGCCCACCAAACCNACGAUGGAUAGGGGUUCUGAGAGGAAGGUCCCCCACAUUGGAACUGAGACACGGUCCAAACUCCUACGGGAGGCAGCAGUGAGGAAUAUUGGUCAAUGGACGAGAGUCUGAACCAGCCAAGUAGCGUGAAGGAUGACUGCCCUAUGGGUUGUAAACUUCUUUUAUACGGGAAUAAAGUUAGCCACGUGUGGCUUUUUGUAUGUACCGUAUGAAUAAGGAUCGGCUAACUCCGUGCCAGCAGCCGCGGUAAUACGGAGGAUCCGAGCGUUAUCCGGAUUUAUUGGGUUUAAAGGGAGCGUAGGCGGGUUGUUAAGUCAGUUGUGAAAGUUUGCGGCUCAACCGUAAAAUUGCAGUUGAUACUGGCGACCUUGAGUGCAACAGAGGUAGGCGGAAUUCGUGGUGUAGCGGUGAAAUGCUUAGAUAUCACGAAGAACUCCGAUUGCGAAGGCAGCUUACUGGAUUGUAACUGACGCUGAUGCUCGAAAGUGUGGGUAUCAAACAGGAUA